Molecule: ribosomal RNA, 296 nt
Filed under: Clostridioides difficile
Lineage: Bacteria; Bacillati; Bacillota; Clostridia; Peptostreptococcales; Peptostreptococcaceae
Description: partial 16S ribosomal RNA
Rfam family: Bacterial small subunit ribosomal RNA
Source: RNAcentral
GACACGGUCCAAACUCCUACGGGAGGCAGCAGUGGGGAAUAUUGCACAAUGGGCGAAAGCCUGAUGCAGCAACGCCGCGUGAGUGAUGAAGGCCUUCGGGUCGUAAAACUCUGUCCUCAAGGAAGAUAAUGACGGUACUUGAGGAGGAAGCCCCGGCUAACUACGUGCCAGCAGCCGCGGUAAUACGUAGGGGGCUAGCGUUAUCCGGAUUUACUGGGCGUAAAGGGUGCGUAGGCGGUCUUUCAAGUCAGGAGUGAAAGGCUACGGCUCAACCGUAGUAAGCUCUUGAAACUGGG